CCCAUCUCUCAGAAGUCCAGAUAGGGCAUAGCCCCUCACAUCAAGAGGUUGUUCAACUUUAGGAACAUCCUAUUCUUCUCAGUACAAAAAUGGGAUGUCCUAUUACAGACCAGUCUAGGAUUUAAGAGAAGUUAACCCAUGAAUCGUAUCUCUGUACUCUACCAUUCUCAACCCAUAUACCCUCCUGAGUUUGCUGUCUCCUGAGCACCAAGUAUAUACUGUGCUAGAUUUAAAAGAUAUUUUUUCAGUCUGCCUCUUUCCUCAGCUAGCCAGCCUAUAUUUGCCUUCUAAUGGACUGACCCAGCUUCCAAUGAUUCUUGGCAACUCAUUUGGACCUGGCUCCCUCAAGGAUUCAAGAAUGCAACCACUCUGUUCUGUGAGGCCUUCCAGAAGGACUUAUUUGUUGAGUUUUUGAUCCCAUGACCCUAACCUCACCUUGCUUCAAUAUGUGGAAGAUCUGUUGUUAGCUGCUGCCAUUUGUUCAGAAUGCCUUCAGGAAACAAGAGCUCCUACAAUUGCUAGAGGAGUUGGGCUAAUGUGUCUUGGCUAAAAAGGCACAACUCUGUGCUUCCCAUGCAUCGUACCUGUGGUAUGAGACCUCAAAAGGAAGAAAAACUUUGUCUCAGGCAAGGAAAUGGGCCAUUCUCCAGAUACCCAUGCCAACUACCAAGAAACAGGUACAAGAAUUUCUAGGUGCAGCUGGAUACUGUGGCCUCUGGAUACCUGGGUUUGCCAAGAUAGUACAGCCCUGAAAUCAACCCCUAGAGUGGAGAAGAAAAGAAGAAAAGGUGUUCCAGGAUUUAAAACAAGCUCUGGUGUCAGCCCCGACUCUGGUGUUGCCUGGCAUCAAUCACCAAACUGUUCCAACUGUUCACUCAUGAGGUUCUCAGUCUGGCAACACUGAUGCCACAUGAUGACCCCAAUACCCCAAUGCAUGACUGUGAGGAGGUGUUGGACCACACCUAGGGAGGCUGCUCAGACCUAAUGGACAUCCCCCAGCUGAGGCUGACACCACUCUCUUCACUGAUGGAAGUAGCAUGGUGAACAAAAUUCAUGGCACAGCUGUACCAAGUAUUGGAGGCUGGCAAGAUCAGGAUAUUCAAGAGUUCCAUUGGCAUGGUGAAUCUGGUUGACAUGGUGCGAUGACUGAAAACUUGAAGGCAGUCUUGCUGGCUUCCACUCCUCACCUCCACAGGGAAAGUCCUUAAGUCACAUCUGCAGGGCCCUGUCCUGGCUCCAUGACUUUGAGCAGAAGAAACAGCAAGAAGAGGCCCACUGUCUCCUUGAACCUGAAGCCGGCCCCUCGCCUGAGGGGCAGACUUGCAUCCUGCAAUCUUGUCUUCCUGCCAAGCAUCCCCCACCACUCUGAGACCUACACAAGAGCCAGACUGGGUCACCAAGUUUGUGCAGAGGAAGGAAGGAAGGGACCUGGCAGAGCAAGUGAAGGCCUGCAUCAUAGACCGAGCAGAUGGGUACUGGAACCUGACUACAGGGGUCUUCAGGAGGUAUCAGGUCAGGCUGAAUGAAGAAAGCCCAGAGGAAAAGUCUGGAAAAUUGGCAGGAGUCAAAACCACAUUGUAACAAGCAUCCACAAUAAUCUUAAUAACUAUGAAACUUGUGACCAGGUUAAUUGGUUUUAUUUCAACUAAUUCUAUUUCUAUAUAUCAAUGUGUCUUUAGUGUUGUAUACAUCAUUGUAAAAUAUUUCAAGCACAGUAGACUGUGUAAACAAAAA
This 1734-nucleotide long non-coding RNA is filed under the name Heterocephalus glaber (naked mole-rat). RNAcentral describes it as "lncRNA (ENSHGLG00100051252.1)". Lineage: Eukaryota; Metazoa; Chordata; Mammalia; Rodentia; Bathyergidae. The record is from RNAcentral.